Molecule: long non-coding RNA, 2390 nt
Organism: Oncorhynchus kisutch (coho salmon)
Lineage: Eukaryota; Metazoa; Chordata; Actinopteri; Salmoniformes; Salmonidae
Exons: 4
Source: RefSeq, a predicted model, not a curated record
UUCCGGACAACAAGAGGCAUCAACAUGGCUGUCCCAACCGGGAGAUCUGUGGUCUCCGUGACUGGAAACGCAAAUAAACUAGAAGAGGUAGCAGAAUGGUUCACAAGAACCGACAUUCCAUUGUGAACAUUAAACGUUGCAGCGUGUGCUGUUUAUUAGAGGCUUUACUUUGGCUCUAGCCAUGGCAGCCAACCCAUGUGAAUGCAUGGAAAUGACUGACGGGGAAUGUGAUGGUGGUUUUAGAUUACACUUGCACAGAUCAAAUGGUUUGAUAGCUGUUAUUAGCCGAUAAAAUAGAUUACGGUUCACCACCUAGAUUACGGAGACAUCAUUUAUAGAUCGACAGGGGAUUCAGAUCCUGGGGGACAAGUUUCCCUACAAACUAGUGUCCAAGAAGAUUGACUGAUCAUCUGGUUCUCAUGAUGAACAGCCUUAAGAUGCCUUUGGGCAUCGGCCCAGGUCAGUUUAAGAUGCUGGCUGGGUUUGAGGAUAAGUCGGCCUGGGCUCUGUGUACCUUUGCCUUCUGUCCAGGAAAAGAGGAACCGGUACAACUCUUCAGAGGGAUAACUGAGUUAUGCUGAGCUACCCAAGGAGGUGAAGAACACCAUUUCCCAUCGGUAUCAAGCUCUGGCAGCCAUGUCUGAACACUUCUCCUCUCAGGACAAUGGCACACCAGACAGCAAGAAGAAGAUAUGGCUAUUAACCCCUGAUCAGAUCACAUAACCAUUAGAGGGAUACAAAAUCUGACCCUGUAUCAGUGGUGGGGCAACUUCUACCUACUCUGACUUAUGGGUAUCAGAGUCUGAGCCAAUCAAACAGUUCUGAUGUUGAAUUGAGAUAGUGGUGCUUUUGAUACAGUGCCUUCAAAAAGUAUUCACACCCCUUGACUUUUUCCACAGUUUGAUGUGUUACACAUGGGAUUAAAAUUGAAAAAGAAUUGUCAACGAUCUACACAAAAUACUCUACAAUGUCUAAGUUGAAUUUAAAAAAAAAUCUAUUUCUAAAACACAAAACACUAUCUUGAUUCGAUAAGUAUUCAACCCCCUGAGUCAAUACAUGUUAUAAUCACCUUUGGCAGUGAUUACAACUGUGAGUCUUUCUGGGUAUGUUUCGAAGAGCUUUGCACACCUGGAUUGUACAAUAUAUGCAAAUUAGUAUAUCAAAAAAAUCAAGCUCUGUCAAGUUGUUAGUUGAUCAUUACAACACAGCCAUUUAAGUCUUGCCAUAGUUUUAAGUCAAAACUGUAACUAGGUCACUCAUUAAAUGUUGUCUUGGUAAGCAACUCCAGCAUAUAAUUGGCCUUGUGUUUUAGAUUAUUGUCCUGAAAAUAUGUAGAAUGGUGCUGUUGUGUUGGAUUUGCCCCAAACAACACUUUGUUUUCAGGACAUAAAGUUAAUUUCUUUGGUACAUUUUUUUGCAGUUUUACGUUAGUGCCUUAUUGCAAAAAGGAUGCAUGUUUAGGAAUAAAAAAAAUUGGACUGGCUUUCUUCUUUUCACUCUGUCAUUUAGUUUAGUAUUGUGAAGUAACUACAAUUUCUUUGAUCCAUCCUCAGUUUUCUGCUAUCACAGCCUCAUUGUGAAAUCCCUGAGCAGUUUCCUUCCUCUCAGGCAACUGAGUUAGGAAGGACGCCUGUAUUUUUGUAGUGAUUGGGUGAUUGAUACACCAUCCAAAGUGUAAUUAAUAACUUCUCCAUGCUCAAAGGGAUGUUAAAUAUCUACUUUUUAAUAUGUACCCACCUACCAAUAGGUGCCCUUUGCGAGGCAUUGGAAAACCUUGCUGGUCUUUGUGUUUCAAUCUGUUUUUGAAAUUCACUGCUUGACUGAGAGACCUUAAAAUUAUCUUGAUGUGUGGUGUGCAGAGAUGAGUUAGUCAGUCAUGUUAAAUACAAUUAUUGCAUCUGUGCAACUUAUGUGACUUGUUAAGCAUAUUUUUUACUCUUGAACUUAUUUAGGCUUGCCAUAACAAAGGGGUGGAAUACAAUAUUGACUCAAGACAUUUCAGCUUUUAAUUUGUACAAAUUUCAAAAUAAUCUAAUUCCACUUUGACAUUAUGGAGUCUUGUGUGUAGGCCACUGACACAAAAUCUAAAUUGAAUCGAUUUUAAAUUCAGGCUGUAACACAACAAAAUGUGGGGGAAAGUGAAGGGGUUUGAAUACUUUCUGAAGGCACUCUAUAUGCUUUCCUUAAACUGGAAGAACUCAAGAUGUAUUGUGUCCUUUGUCCAACCUGGAUUAUGUGGGUUUAGAACCAAGACUUUUGCUUUCUAAAGUGCAGACUCCAAACCAGGACUAUACUCAUACUGUAUGUGUGAUGUGUUACUGAGGCAGGUUCUGUGGGUGUGUAUGGAGUGCCCCAAGAGAAGUGUAUAAUAAACCAUAAACAUUCUGCCA